AGAGUUUGAUCCUGGCUCAGGAUGAACGCUGGCGGUGCGCCUAAUACAUGCAAGUCGAGCGUGAUCUCUGUCGUAGUAAUAUGAUAGAGUGAAAGCGGCGGACGAGCGAGUAACACGUAAGAACCUACCCCGUACUCAGGGAUAACUUGCCGAAAGGCGGGCUAAUACCGGAUACUCUGGAAACAGUAAAGCUUUUGCGGUAUGGGAGGGGCUUGCGGCCUAUCAGCUUGUUGGCGGGAUAAAAGCCCACCAAGGCAAUGACGGGUAGCUGGUGUGAGAGCAUGACCAGCCGCGAUGGGACUGAGACACGGCCCAUACUCCUACGGGAGGCAGCAGUAGGGAAUCUUCCGCAAUGGACGAAAGUCUGACGGAGCGACACCGCGUGAAGGACGAAGGCUCUCGGGUUGUAAACUUCUUUUCUGGGGGAAGAAAA
Molecule: ribosomal RNA, 433 nt
Filed under: uncultured bacterium
Lineage: Bacteria
Description: bacterial SSU rRNA
Rfam family: Bacterial small subunit ribosomal RNA
Source: RNAcentral